Molecule: non-coding RNA, 782 nt
Filed under: Ectomocoris horridus
Lineage: Eukaryota; Metazoa; Arthropoda; Insecta; Hemiptera; Reduviidae
Source: RNAcentral
GUGAAGUUUGAUCUUAUCUUUAUUAGUUUGCGUUCAGUUGGUUGAACAUGUGAGUUUUUGUGUGAUUUAAUUUUCUCUGAAUGGGUGGAUUAAUUUAAUUUAAUUUAUUCUCAGUUUUUUAUUUUAUUUUUUUAGGCAACUAAGAAUUAGCUGAAUUGUUCAGUUCUGACAAAGUUUGUGCCAGCAGUCGCGGUUAUACAAUAAGAGCAAGUGAAUUCUUUCGGGGGCAGCAUUUAAAAUUUAAUUUUUGGUCUGUUUAUCUUUUUAUUGGGUGAAAUCAUAAUUUGGUUGAGGGCUUGAUUUUUUUGAUGUUGAAUGUGAAACUCUGUAGUGAGACUAGGAUUAGAUACCCUAUUAUUAUGGAGUGUGAAUAGGUUCUCUUGGUAUUAUUAGUUAUGGUCUUUAAAUUAAAAAGAUUUGGCGGUAAUUUAGUCUUUUCAGAGGAAUCUGCCCUGUAAAUGAUGAUCCACGAUGAAUUUCACCUUAUUUUAGCUUGUAUACCUCUGUCAUUGAAUGUCUUAUUAGGGUAAUUUUCUUUAAUUCUUAUGGAGUUAAUGUCAAGUCAAGGUGCAGCAGUAUUAAGGAAGAGGUGGAUUACAAUGAAAUUAUUUCUGGAUGGCAAGUUGUAAUACUUGCUUGAAAUUGGAUUUGAAAGUAAUUUUUAUUAGUAUAUAAUUUUGAUUAAGGCUCUAGGUUAUGUACACAUCGCCCGUCACUCUCAUUAUUUAAAAUGAGAUAAGUCGUAACAAAGUAGGCCUACCGGAAGGUGGGCCUGGGAAGUU